UCCGGCUUAUCACCGGCAGUUUCCCUAGAGUGCCCAGCCUAACCUGAUGGCAACUAAGGAUGAGGGUUGCGCUCGUUGCGGGACUUAACCCAACAUCUCACGACACGAGCUGACGACAGCCAUGCAGCACCUGUGCACCUCCCACCCGAAGUGAAGGAUUCCGUUUCCGGUAUCCAUAGAGGGCAUGUCAAGGCCUGGUAAGGUUCUUCGCGUUGCGUCGAAUUGAACCACAUGCUCCACCGCUUGUGCGGGUCCCCGUCAAUUCCUUUGAGUUUUAAUCUUGCGACCGUACUCCCCAGGCGGGAUGCUUAAUGCGUUAGCUUCGCCACUGAGCCCUACGGGCCCAACAGCUAGCAUCCAUCGUUUACGGCGUGGACUAC
This 380-nucleotide unclassified non-coding RNA is filed under the name uncultured Alphaproteobacteria bacterium. RNAcentral describes it as "contains 16S-23S intergenic spacer region". The record is from RNAcentral. Lineage: Bacteria; Pseudomonadati; Pseudomonadota; Alphaproteobacteria.